CUCGAUUCGUUCAUCGUUCGUCCUUGACAACGUCCGUCCGUUCAAAAGAUGUCGUUGGCAGAUCAAAAUUGCAUUUUACGUUUCGAUGAUGGAAGGUUAGUGCGUCGCAAGAAAAAAAAGAGAGAGAGAGAGAGAAACAAAAAUAAAAAGAAAAAAGAAGAAGAAAAUAACGGAUAGGAGGUAAAGAAGCGAACAGCAAAGUGUAUGAAUCAGAGACGUAGAUCGUGGCAUUGAUCAAGGUUCCUGAUCUAUCUAGAUUUACGGAUAAGAUUACAAUUGUCUUGAGCUUCUUCGCAUCUUGAAACUACCCUAAUAAUCGCUCGACCCGCCAAUUGGACGCAAACAGCC
Polistes canadensis is the source of this 348-nucleotide long non-coding RNA. RefSeq lists it as uncharacterized. The transcript has 3 exons. The record is from RefSeq and is a predicted model, not a curated record. NCBI's taxonomy places the organism in Eukaryota, Metazoa, Arthropoda, Insecta, Hymenoptera, Vespidae.